RNAcentral lists this unclassified non-coding RNA (670 nucleotides) under Oscillatoria sp. KNUA009. RNAcentral describes it as "partial contains 16S ribosomal RNA, 16S-23S ribosomal RNA intergenic spacer, and 23S ribosomal RNA". The stretch from base 1 to 152 matches the Rfam family "Bacterial small subunit ribosomal RNA", at positions 1382 to 1533 of the family's 1533-position model. Lineage: Bacteria; Bacillati; Cyanobacteriota; Cyanophyceae; Oscillatoriales; Oscillatoriaceae. The record is from RNAcentral.
UGUACACACCGCCCGUCACACCAUGGAAGUUGGCCACGCCCGAAGUCGUUACCCUAACCGUAAGGAGGGGGGCGCCUAAGGCAGGGCUGAUGACUGGGGUGAAGUCGUAACAAGGUAGCCGUACCGGAAGGUGUGGCUGGAUCACCUCCUUUUAGGGAGACCUUACCCUUCUAACUCUGAAUUGAGUAAGAGUAGAUAGAGGUUAUCUCAAGGUCGGUCGAGGUUAUAUGUGUUAGCUUCCAAAUUUUGCUCUGGUUUUAAUUAACCAGUACGGGCUAUUAGCUCAGAUGGUUAGAGCGCACCCCUGAUAAGGGUGAGGUCCCUGGUUCGAGUCCAGGAUGGCCCACCUUUGCUAUCGCUAGGGGGUUUAGCUCAGUUGGUAGAGCGCCUGCUUUGCAAGCAGGAUGUCAGCGGUUCGAGUCCGCUAACCUCCACUGAUAAAUUUCAGCAACUCAUGAUGUCUAACAGAGACUUCAUAGCCUGCUGGAUAUUUUAUCCAGUCAGAACCUAGAAAACUGCAUAAAGAUUAGUCAGGUAAGUAGUAACCACUGAAGAUUGAGCAAUCAAUUCUUGUAGUGGCUUUACAGACAAUACCAAACAAAAAUACUUAGAAAUAAGUGGUCAAGCUACAAAGGGCUAAUGGUGGAUACCUAGGCACACAGAGGCGAAG